CGAAUGCUGACAUAAGUAACGAUAAAGCGGGUGAAAAGCCCGCUCGCCGGAAGACCAAGGGUUCCUGUCCAACGUUAAUCGGGGCAGGGUGAGUCGACCCCUAAGGCGAGGCCGAAAGGCGUAGUCGAUGGGAAACGGGUUAAUAUUCCCGUACUUGGUGUUACUGCGAAGGGGGGACGGAGAAGGCUAUGUUGGCCGGGCGACGGUUGUCCCGGUUUAAGCGUGUAGGUGUGUGUUCCAGGUAAAUCCGGUUCACUUUAACACUGAGGCGUGACGACGAGGCACUACGGUGCUGAAGCAACAAAUGCCCUGCUUCCAGGAAAAGCCUCUAAGCAUCAGGUAACAUCAAAUCGUACCCCAAACCGACACAGGUGGUCAGGUAGAGAAUACCAAGGCGCUUGAGAGAACUCGGGUGAAGGAACUAGGCAAAAUGGUGCCGUAACUUCGGGAGAAGGCACGCUGACACGUAGGUGAAGUGAUUUACUCAUGGAGCUGAAGUCAGUCGAAGAUACCAGCUGGCUGCAACUGUUUAUUAAAAACACAGCACUGUGCAAACACGAAAGUGGACGUAUACGGUGUGACGCCUGCCCGGUGCCGGAAGGUUAAUUGAUGGGGUCAGCGCAAGCGAAGCUCCUGAUCGAAGCCCCGGUAAACGGCGGCCGUAACUAUAACGGUCCUAAGGUAGCGAAAUUCCUUGUCGGGUAAGUUCCGACCUGCACGAAUGGCGUAAUGAUGGCCAGGCUGUCUCCACCCGAGACUCAGUGAAAUUGAACUCGCUGUGAAGAUGCAGUGUACCCGCGGCAAGACGGAAAGACCCCGUGAACCUUUACUAUAGCUUGACACUGAACAUUGAGCCUUGAUGUGUAGGAUAGGUGGGAGGCUUUGAAGUGUGGACGCCAGUCUGCAUGGAGCCGACCUUGAAAUACCACCCUUUAAUGUUUGAUGUUCUAACGUGGACCCGUAAUCCGGGUUGCGGACAGUGUCUGGUGGGUAGUUUGACUGGGGCGGUCUCCUCCUAAAGAGUAACGGAGGAGCACGAAGGUUGGCUAAUCCUGGUCGGACAUCAGGAGGUUAGUGCAAUGGCAUAAGCCAGCUUGACUGCGAGCGUGACGGCGCGAGCAGGUGCGAAAGCAGGUCAUAGUGAUCCGGUGGUUCUGAAUGGAAGGGCCAUCGCUCAACGGAUAAAAGGUACUCCGGGGAUAACAGGCUGAUACCGCCCAAGAGUUCAUAUCGACGGCGGUGUUUGGCACCUCGAUGUCGGCUCAUCACAUCCUGGGGCUGAAGUAGGUCCCAAGGGUAUGGCUGUUCGCCAUUUAAAGUGGUACGCGAGCUGGGUUUAGAACGUCGUGAGACAGUUCGGUCCCUAUCUGCCGUGGGCGCUGGAGAACUGAGGGGGGCUGCUCCUAGUACGAGAGGACCGGAGUGGACGCAUCACUGGUGUUCGGGUUGUCAUGCCAAUGGCACUGCCCGGUAGCUAAAUGCGGAAGAGAUAAGUGCUGAAAGCAUCUAAGCACGAAACUUGCCCCGAGAUGAGUUCUCCCUGAGACUUAGAGUCUCCUGAAGGAACGUUGAAGACGACGACGUUGAUAGGCCGGGUGUGUAAGCGCAGCGAUGCGUUGAGCUAACCGGUACUAAUGAACCGUGAGGCUUAACC
This 1654-nucleotide ribosomal RNA is filed under the name Salmonella enterica subsp. enterica serovar Albany. RNAcentral's name for it is "bacterial LSU rRNA". It matches the Rfam family "Bacterial large subunit ribosomal RNA", at positions 1291 to 2925 of the family's 2925-position model. The record is from RNAcentral. Lineage: Bacteria; Pseudomonadati; Pseudomonadota; Gammaproteobacteria; Enterobacterales; Enterobacteriaceae.